AGUGAACGCUGGCGGUAGGCCUAACACAUGCAAGUCGAACGGCAGCACAGUAAGAGCUUGCUCUUACGGGUGGCGAGUGGCGGACGGGUGAGGAAUACAUCGGAAUCUACUUUUUCGUGGGGGAUAACGUAGGGAAACUUACGCUAAUACCGCAUACGACCUACGGGUGAAAGCAGGGGAUCUUCGGACCUUGCGCGAUUGAAUGAGCCGAUGUCGGAUUAGCUAGUUGGCGGGGUAAAGGCCCACCAAGGCGACGAUCCGUAGCUGGUCUGAGAGGAUGGUCGGCCACACUGGAACUGAGACACGGUCCAGACUCCUACGGGAGGCAGCAGUGGGGAAUAUUGGACAAUGGGCGCAAGCCUGAUCCAGCCAUACCGCGUGGGUGAAGAAGGCCUUCGGGUUGUAAAGCCCUUUUGUUGGGAAAGAAAAGCAGCAGGUUAAUACCCCACUGUUCUGACGGUACCCAAAGAAUAAGCACCGGCUAACUUCGUG
This 492-nucleotide ribosomal RNA is filed under the name uncultured bacterium. RNAcentral describes it as "partial 16S ribosomal RNA". It matches the Rfam family "Bacterial small subunit ribosomal RNA", at positions 29 to 507 of the family's 1533-position model. The record is from RNAcentral.